UCUCAAUAGAAAGGUGGGGAGCUGCUGGGGAAAUUACCCCAUUUAUCCCUGUGUUUAUCCCUCUCGUAACUUCUCCCAAAAAGGAGGAGCUCUCAGGCCUGGGUGGGGGCCCCGGGUGGACGAGGGGGUCGUUCAACCUGUGUGCUUCGAAGGAUGAGACUUCCUCUUGAACAGUGUGCUGUUGUAAACAUAUUUGAAAACUAUUACCAAUAAAGUUUUGUUUU
RNAcentral lists this long non-coding RNA (224 nucleotides) under Mus musculus (house mouse). RNAcentral's name for it is "long non-coding RNA chr8:83996211-83996435". The record is from RNAcentral. Lineage: Eukaryota; Metazoa; Chordata; Mammalia; Rodentia; Muridae.